GUUCUCCAGAGGCUGCGCUCAUCGGAGCAACAAGGUCCUACCAAUAGGGCGGUAGUCGUGGAACUUGGCAAAGACGCAUACGUUAGGUUUUGAGAAGGUGUGUGAACUGGCUCGGUCGGCGGCGCGACUAGUAUCUCUAAAGACGAUGUAAAGUCAGAAUCGCCGAAUUUUGGUUUGGAAUGAGAAUGAGGAGAUAAAUACGUUGAUGGAGUUUCUGUAGCUGACAGCAGUGUCAAACUAGACCUAGAGUCGAUGUUUUGGUCAACAACGUUCUCUGCUGGAGCACUACAAAAAAAACUCGUCAGUUUUCGCAUCCUUUUAGCUGUUUCUACAAGCUCUUUUUCCUUUUCUCGUUUUCGCCUAGCAGCUCUAGGCAUGAUGAUUUUGAUUAGAAGUGAUUUAAACCGCAAAA
Xenia sp. Carnegie-2017 is the source of this 412-nucleotide long non-coding RNA. RefSeq lists it as uncharacterized. The transcript has 2 exons. The record is from RefSeq and is a predicted model, not a curated record. Lineage: Eukaryota; Metazoa; Cnidaria; Anthozoa; Malacalcyonacea; Xeniidae.